UACGAAGGGGGCUAGCGUUGUUCGGAAUUACUGGGCGUAAAGGGCGCGUAGGCGGCGUGUCAAGUCAGGCGUGGAAGCCCCGGGCUCAACCUGGGAACCGCGCUUGAGACUGGCAUGCUCGAGUUCGGGAGAGGAUGGUGGAAUUCCCAGUGUAGAGGUGAAAUUCGUAGAUAUUGGGAAGAACACCAGUGGCGAAGGCGGCUCACUGGCCCGUAACUGACGCUGAGGUGCGAAAGCGUGGGGAGCAAACAGG
This 253-nucleotide ribosomal RNA is filed under the name uncultured bacterium. RNAcentral describes it as "partial 16S ribosomal RNA". It matches the Rfam family "Bacterial small subunit ribosomal RNA", at positions 524 to 776 of the family's 1533-position model. The record is from RNAcentral.